RNAcentral lists this ribosomal RNA (696 nucleotides) under uncultured bacterium. RNAcentral describes it as "bacterial SSU rRNA". It matches the Rfam family "Bacterial small subunit ribosomal RNA", at positions 32 to 715 of the family's 1533-position model. The record is from RNAcentral.
AACGCUAGCUACAGGCUUAACACAUGCAAGUCGAGGGGAAACGACAUCGAAAGCUUGCUUUUGAUGGGCGUCGACCGGCGCACGGGUGAGUAACGCGUAUCCAACCUGCCCAUCACUUGGGGAUAACCUUGCGAAAGUAAGACUAAUACCCAAUGACGUCUCUAGAAGACAUCUGAAAGAGAUUAAAGAUUUAUCGGUGAUGGAUGGGGAUGCGUCUGAUUAGCUUGUUGGCGGGGUAACGGCCCACCAAGGCGACGAUCAGUAGGGGUUCUGAGAGGAAGGUCCCCCACAUUGGAACUGAGACACGGUCCAAACUCCUACGGGAGGCAGCAGUGAGGAAUAUUGGUCAAUGGACGAGAGUCUGAACCAGCCAAGUAGCGUGCAGGAUGACGGCCCUAUGGGUUGUAAACUGCUUUUAUAAGGGAAUAAAGUGAGUCUCGUGAGACUUUUUGCAUGUACCUUAUGAAUAAGGACCGGCUAAUUCCGUGCCAGCAGCCGCGGUAAUACGGAAGGUCCGGGCGUUAUCCGGAUUUAUUGGGUUUAAAGGGAGCGUAGGCCGUCUGUUAAGCGUGUUGUGAAAUGUAGAUGCUCAACAUCUGAAUUGCAGCGCGAACUGGCAGACUUGAGUGUGCGCAACGUAGGCGGAAUUCGUGGUGUAGCGGUGAAAUGCUUAGAUAUCACGAAGAACUCCGAUUG